This is a non-coding RNA of Python bivittatus (Burmese python), 4774 nucleotides long. The record is from RefSeq and is a predicted model, not a curated record. Lineage: Eukaryota; Metazoa; Chordata; Lepidosauria; Squamata; Pythonidae.
CAUACAAAUUUGACUUAAGGACAGACCCUGGGAAUGGAACUCGUUUUUAAACUGGGGACUACCUGUACUAUGAACCUGUGGACUACUCAACUGUUAGCUUUUCAGCAGUUUGUUCCUGUGAUUUAUGAGUUCCAUUUUUGCUGAUAUGACCAGUUUGGGGGCAAUUCUGGCAGAGAUUUUUCUUAGUCUUCAAUCUAAUGUCCCAUAGUGAAGAAAUUGAAGCUGCAAAAAGGUUGGAUAUUUCAGCAGGACAAGUAUCUGAAACAUACCUUCAAAUCAACCAUGUAGUACAAGAAAGAAAGAUAAGAGCAUGCAAGGGGACCCAAGAAUAUUUCUGAGCUAGACAAGUUCUGCAAGGAAGAGUUGAAAAAACCCAAAAGCAAGGCUAGAAUGACUCUCAUCUGGAAACACGAAUCAUCUGGAAGCUAUUGUUUCUGCCAAAGGAAAUGUUACAAAGUGGUGACUGACAGAUCCCAACUUCUGUACCUGCUGUAUUCACUGUUGUUUUUUUUUAAUGUUAAAUGCACACAAAGUCAAGUAGACAUUCACAUUUACAAAAGGAUAUUGAGGUUAAUUUUGUACAGUGGAGAAGUUGUGUCAGCUACUGUUAACUUAGGGAGUCAUUGAAAUACAAAUUGAUGAGGGGUGUCUAAAUGUUUGCAUACAACUGUAUUGUGGGUGUGGGUGUGAGAGAGACUUGUGCCCAUUUCAGAAGCUGCCCCCUUCUCCUUCACAGUGGAAAGAAGCGGGUGGAGGAAACUACAGUUGGCAACUUGCAUUCCCUUAGUCAUCUACCCUCUUUCUAGGUUUUGUUUCACAAAAACCAAAGACAAGGCUGCUGGUUUUAUUUGAAUAACAUUAUUCGUCCAUUUUAUUUUGCCCAGCUUCUUUGGAAAUCCCUAUGCUUUUUUUUUUUUCAGGAUGCUGGCAAAUUGCCCCAUCUUGAUGGACUCUGGAAUGAGCCAUGGACUUAACUCUCCGUAAAUAUGCCUGGGACCUGAGCGCUGCUUUCCUGUUUAUUAAGGGACGUGGCCAAUUCUAAACACAGUAGCUGAACUUGUUCCCUCCUUCCCCCACCCGCCCCCAUGUACUGUGCAGAAUUUAUCAACUCUGCAUUUCAUUAUGCACUCUCCCACUGUUAUAAGAUCCCCAUGGAACUCCUUACAAUCUGCUUUAGAUUUAACUAUGUUGAAUAAUUUAUCAUCUGCAAAUUUUGCUACAUCCCUGUUCAAUCCCUUUUCCAAGUCAUUAAUGAAUGUGUUAAAAAAGCACAGGUCCCAUUAUAGAUCUCUGAGGCUCCCUACGGUUUAUCUCUUUCCGCUGCGCAAAUUGACCAUUUAUGCCUCCCUUCUAUUUCCUAUAAUUCAGCCACUUGCUUAUCCUCAAAAGGAUGUCUCCGCUUAUGCCAGAACGACUUAACCUGAUACAGGGGCCUUUGAUGAGGGACGAUACAGCCUGUUUUAUGAAAAGACUAAUUAUACACAUCUUUGCCCCGUGUAUUUACUGACGUUCUCUCAAGCUUUCAGCCAGGUCCUGAGCCAAGAUUUUGCCUUACUUCAAUUCUGCACUUUCCUCACUUGCUAGAUUUUGCACCUGGAGUCAGUUGGUAUCAGUUUAUAAAAACAAUCACCAUUCCCCCCCCACCCCCAGGUUUGGCCUGCCCAUAUAGGCUUGGCCUGAUUAUCAGGAGCACCCAGGGAGCCCGGGGGGCACAGCAAACCAUCUGCCACGUGGUCAGAGCUCAGAGCAGGGAAAUGCUUGCCCACCCCAGCCCAAUCCCUGGCAUUUUCUUUUUUUAAUUCCUGCCCGCUCUAAGCCUUAGCGGUGUGUUAAGUACUUUAUAAUCUCCCCCCACCCAGUCUCACAGUCCAGCACAGAGACAGUCCCCAUUCCAUUUUACAGAAGCCUGCAUUUUAGGGAAGAUAAAAUUCACAAUUCCAUUAGCAAGGCAGAAGCAGCGAACAAAGGAUUAAAGCAGACCAGCUGUCCACUAAGGCAGGGGUGGGCAUUCUUUAGGUGGCAGAAAAGGGGCCAGAUGGAUUUGGGGAGGGUCCGAGGCCAAACUCCACAACCAAGGACCCAAAGGCUCUGUCUGGACAACAGGUGUAAAUGGGUCAUGCCACUCUCAGAAAUAAAUGAGGAUAUGGUUGUCUCAAAUUCAGGGCCUAAAGCAACAUACCCAUAAUUUUAUCAUUUGUUAAAUGUUCAGGAGCUCAAGCAGACCUACAAAGCCCCCCCCCUUCCUUUUCUGUCACCAACAAUUACCCUCCAUAACAACUACCCUGCAAGGUAGGUUGGGCUGAGAGAGUGUGUUACUGACCCAAACUCACCCAAUGAUUUCCAUGGCUGUGGGUGGAACUUGAAGCCAGCUCUCCCUGAUGCCUGUCCAACACCUUCACCACUGGGCCAUGCUAGCUAAUUCAGGUAUUUAGGCUGCUCUUUCUUAUAUAUGUAAUGAUUAUACUGGGUGACCUGUGAACAAUUCUGAUUCUGAUGAUCAGAAUAAAUGCGGAUAAAAUGGGGAUUGUAUAUUAUGUUCAUGAUGGUUAUUAGUGCCAAGGAAUCUUUUAGAAACUGGUUCUGAGAAAUGUUUUGAGGGCCACAUUCCAUUUUGAUGAGGCCAAACGUAAAGCAGCUAAGUGUGUGGGUGUUGUGUGUAUGAAUGUAUCCUGAAAUAAUCAAGAGCAUCAUUUGCACGUGCAUGUCCUCUGUGUGGGUCUACUCAGAAGUAAGCCAGGACAGCAAAAAAGCAAACAUAUUCAGAAGCCUUACUAGUUUCAGCACAGUUUCCAGGCAAGCAUGUUGUGACCUCUUUAUAGAAAGUUAAAAGAAAAAAAAAAACCUCAACGAAUUACAAGCUACAGGUCUUUGCAUCAUUCCUUCCCCAAUUCUUCCAGCCAGUACAAAACCAUCUAUGAAGCUCCUUUUUUCUUAAAGUUCGGAGAAAUUGCUACUCACAUGACACAAUCUAUUUAGAGGUGAGUCCAACUGAGUUGAAUUAUUAUCAUGUAAAUGUAGUAGAAUUUCUUUCUUAAACAGAAUUAAACAACAUGAGCAGAAUCAGAUGGCAUUAUUUAUAUUUACAACUCUGCUGCAGCUCCUGAAAAAAAACAUCCUUCACCACCAUCUCCCCUUCUAAUGACUGGCUUACAAAACAACACACCAUCAGGAGAAACACAUUUGCAACACAUGACUAAUGCUGCAGGCAUCAAACCCCCUUUCCGAGGAUUGCUAGGCUCAUUCACAAAUCUCUCUAUUCUGUUUCUAGCCAUUACUUAAGCUCUGAGGUCUUAGGGGCAAACAGAAAACAAACUGGAAUCUCCUUCAAAUUGAGCUCAACUCCAUUAUGGAUUCUGGACAGCAGUACAGAAAUUGCAUUCCUUAUGGGAUGGCUUCUGAUUUCCCAGUCUAGGCUUCCCAGGCACCUUCCCAUCCAAGUAUUAACCAGACUAGACCUUGCUUAGCUUCAGAACCCAAAUGAGAUCAGAUAGGUAUUGCUGGCCACCAAGAUAGUUAGCGCUAUACUACAGAUUGGGGGGGGGGGGAUGGAAGGUUACAGGAAGCAAUUAGCUGAAGUUGCUAAUUUACCAUUAUCAGAUUGCCUUUGCCAUUAACUAGCUGCAAAAAGAUCACGCUUCCAGUAGCAGGAGAAAGAUAAAUCCUCUCUUGAUAAAUGGGUAUCCGAUGAACAUGUCCAGGAACUCCCUAAUGGGACUCAAAGAAAAACCAGCAGAGAUGGAUCAGCACAAACCUGUUCAAAAGACGUGUAUUGAUUUCAGCCAUUUGGGACCCAGGAUUCUGUAGAAGCAAGACUUUGCGACAAAAUAUCACUUUGAAAAAUGCCACCCUAGAACAUUUGGGAUGGUUGGUAGGCUUUGAUUAGCUUAUCACAGGGACCCAAAAAGCCAGUCAGUAUCGGGUUAGAUUUAACACAGAAGAGCCCUGGAGGGUACAGGGUUAAACUAGCCUCCCCCAUCAACCAUGACAUGGAACAUGGUGAGGGUUAACUCAGGGUGACCAUUCAUUCAUCUUCUCUUCUCACUGCUAGCACAGAGAUGAGAGCAUAGAGAAUCCUUGCAAAAACAGGGCUUUUCUAGGCACGUUUGUUUCCAUUCCCCUGCCCAGAAAAUGGGUGAUGCAGGGUGGCGAGGGAAGAGAUAAAUUGCUCCGAACCCAGGCCACUAUAUUUUUCAAAUAGUAAAAAAAAAAAAAAAAUCAAAUAAUUAAAAAAAGAAGACAGCUAGUGCAUUGCCCUUGCAAUCUCAGGUCUUUUAUGGAAAGGUAAAACUGAUGGGUAAGGACUGCUUUCUCCAGAGAAUUGAAUGAGAGAGUUGGGCACCAAAUGAAUCUAACUGCAAUUUGGAAACUUCCUGCGUGGAAGUCCCUAUCUGCUUCCUUUCCCAAAAGCCUCUGUAUGGCAGCAGCUCCUGUUCCAGGCCUUAUUGGAAACUAUUCCAUUCACUGGGAGGGAGCUAACAUAUCCAAACACUUUCCACAAUACAUGUUUAUUAUUGGUGAUUUCUUACCAACAUUUUCUCAUUCAUUUCAAAGUUUCAACUUGGCUUGCAUCAUACUAGAACAUGGAAACAAAUCAGUUCCUCCUCAUUAUAAAGGACCAGAGGCAGGUAUGGGGCCAUUGUCUGGUAAAUUCCUUAGUGUACAAGUGUAAAAGGCAGUGCCAGGGGGAAAAAGGGGCACUACAUGGAGGGGAAGGGGAAAUUACAGGUCUUUUGGCCACGUGAGCUGCAGUACUUGAUCUGAAGUUGCAGUUGCC